RNAcentral lists this ribosomal RNA (401 nucleotides) under Comamonas sp. AZTITEMP94. RNAcentral describes it as "bacterial SSU rRNA". It matches the Rfam family "Bacterial small subunit ribosomal RNA", at positions 934 to 1335 of the family's 1533-position model. The record is from RNAcentral. Lineage: Bacteria; Pseudomonadati; Pseudomonadota; Betaproteobacteria; Burkholderiales; Comamonadaceae.
GGAGCAUGUGGUUUAAUUCGAUGCAACGCGAAAAACCUUACCCACCUUUGACAUGUACGGAAGUCGCUAGAGAUAGCUUCGUGCUCGAAAGAGAGCCGUAACACAGGUGCUGCAUGGCUGUCGUCAGCUCGUGUCGUGAGAUGUUGGGUUAAGUCCCGCAACGAGCGCAACCCUUGCCAUUAGUUGCUACAUUUAGUUGAGCACUCUAAUGGGACUGCCGGUGACAAACCGGAGGAAGGUGGGGAUGACGUCAAGUCCUCAUGGCCCUUAUAGGUGGGGCUACACACGUCAUACAAUGGCUGGUACAAAGGGUUGCCAACCCGCGAGGGGGAGCUAAUCCCAUAAAGCCAGUCGUAGUCCGGAUCGCAGUCUGCAACUCGACUGCGNGAAGUNNGAAUCGC